Molecule: ribosomal RNA, 425 nt
Filed under: uncultured bacterium
Lineage: Bacteria
Description: partial 16S ribosomal RNA
Rfam family: Bacterial small subunit ribosomal RNA
Source: RNAcentral
GUGGGGAAUCUUGCGCAAUGGGCGAAAGCCUGACGCAGCCAUGCUGCGUGGAUGAUGAAGGUCUUAGGAUUGUAAAAUCCUUUCACCGGUGAAGAUAAUGACUGUAGCCGGAGAAGAAGCCCCGGCUAACUUCGUGCCAGCAGCCGCGGUAAUACGAAGGGGGCUAGCGUUGCUCGGAAUUACUGGGCGUAAAGGGAGCGUAGGCGGACAUUUAAGUCAGGGGUGAAAUCCCGAGGCUCAACCUCGGAACUGCCUUUGAUACUGGGUGUCUUGAGUGUGAGAGAGGUGAGUGGAACUCCGAGUGUAGAGGUGAAAUUCGUAGAUAUUCGGAAGAACACCAGUGGCGAAGGCGACUCACUGGCUCAUUACUGACGCUGAGGCUCGAAAGCGUGGGGAGCAAACAGGAUUAGAUACCCCGGUAGUCC